UUGCAUCCGUUUGGUUGGGGUGGGGAGAGGGGCGACUUUAGCCAUGGCCUCCCGGCCCCGAAGCUGGUGCAGGGCUUUGUGAAGGACAAAAUGGCGAUGGCGAGCCGUGCCGGCGGCCGUCUGUGAUGAGAAGCUUUUCACAGACCUGUGCUGAAUUCCGUGAGGAUAAGAAACUCUGAGACUGGCCUUGCACAGCCGAUGCAGUCGUCGUUCCGGAAAACAAAGCGUUAGCGAAAUGCUUAGCGCUGACCUAACGUCCUCUUUGUCUGCAGGGUCUGCGCGCGUUCGGACGCUGAAGCACCGCAACAUCCCUCGUUCGAGUAUGGUUCCGUUCAAAAGAGCUUACAGGUUGGAGGAUGGGACAAGGCCUGUCCCUGUGCAAAUGAAUCAUUGCAGUGAUGCCCCGCAUCUCACUACCAAUCCUGAGGAAGUCAACUGCCUCCCAGGGUGACUACAGGUUGUCCUGGUGACGAUAUAUUCAGCUAUCUUAAUGAUCCCCAUUGAUCUACCCGGGGUUGAUCUCGUGGAAAGACUUGGAGGUGGAGCAGCUGAGUCCUGUAUACUACUGAAAAGCCUCCAGAGUUGAAAGGUACUGUAACCAGUAACCUGCUGUUUACUCAGAGGUCCAGCACCUUCUGGAGUUCAAAGAAUGACUUAAGGAGAAACGUAAGCUGUAUUUCUGCUCAGCUUCAGUUUGCAGUUAGAGGUCUAAAAAAAGAACAAAGCAUGUAUAAUGGAAUCCAACUCUUUGAAGACAUGAAAAAGGAAUUUUCAAGCAAUUUCUUGUACAGUCUAGCUGUUCAAUUUUGCAUAUAAUCAUUUCAGUCUUUAAAAAUAAAAGGGUUUUUUAUCCUUUGCUGUGA
This is a non-coding RNA of Miniopterus natalensis, 863 nucleotides long. The record is from RefSeq and is a predicted model, not a curated record. NCBI's taxonomy places the organism in Eukaryota, Metazoa, Chordata, Mammalia, Chiroptera, Miniopteridae.